GAUGAAGAACGCAGCGAAAUGCGAUAAGUAAUGUGAAUUGCAGAAUUCAGUGAAUCAUCGAAUCUUUGAACGCACAUUGCGCCCGCCAGUAUUCUGGCGGGCAUGCCUGUCCGAGCGUCAUUUCAACCCUCGAACCCCUCCGGGGGGUCGGCGUUGGGGAUCGGCCCUUUACGGGGCCGGCCCCGAAAUACAGUGGCGGUCUCGCCGCCGCCUCUCCUGCGCAGUAGUUUGCACACUCGCAUCGGGAGCGCGGCGCGUCCACAGCCGUUAAACACCCCAAACUUCUGAAAUGUUGACCUCGGAUCAGGUAGGAAUACCCGCUGAACUUAAGCAUAUCAAUAAGCGGAGGA
This 350-nucleotide unclassified non-coding RNA is filed under the name soil metagenome. RNAcentral describes it as "partial contains 5.8S ribosomal RNA, internal transcribed spacer 2, and large subunit ribosomal RNA". The stretch from base 1 to 120 matches the Rfam family "5.8S ribosomal RNA", at positions 35 to 154 of the family's 154-position model. The record is from RNAcentral.